This is a non-coding RNA of Meleagris gallopavo (turkey), 254 nucleotides long. The record is from RefSeq and is a predicted model, not a curated record. NCBI's taxonomy places the organism in Eukaryota, Metazoa, Chordata, Aves, Galliformes, Phasianidae.
GUGGAUUUUGAGUAAGAUUUCUCACCCUCUGCUCAUGAUGGCAGUGGUGACCAGCUCAGCUGUGUUGGAUGGUAUCGUGGCCAUUGAGGCUCUGCUCACCUGGAUCAGCGACAUGGCAGGUGCUCUCGAGGAUCCCCAGGAGAACCGAGAUGGUUCCAGAGUCAGAGAGAAACACCUGCAGAGUGACCUGCUUCAGGAUGAGCUGCUGGGGGAACCAGACGGCCGGGAAAGAGAAGAACUCAUUGCAUGGAUCA